GAAUAUCGUUGUGGUAGGGGUCCCCGCGACCCCUCGGUAGCGGGCCGCUCGCUGCCGGGGGGCAGGGGUCAAAAGCGAAGCCGGUGAGAGGCCGGCGCUGUCCCGCAACUGUAUCCCCGGGCCCCGACGCGUCGGGGUACCGGGGGAGCCAGGUCGCCUGCCCCUGUCAGUCACCAGCC
RNAcentral lists this non-coding RNA (179 nucleotides) under Chloroflexota bacterium. Lineage: Bacteria; Bacillati; Chloroflexota. The record is from RNAcentral.